RNAcentral lists this transfer RNA (75 nucleotides) under Bacillus phage 035JT004. RNAcentral describes it as "tRNA-Asn". It matches the Rfam family "tRNA". From Rfam's summary of the family: Transfer RNA (tRNA) molecules are approximately 80 nucleotides in length. Lineage: Duplodnaviria; Heunggongvirae; Uroviricota; Caudoviricetes; Herelleviridae. The record is from RNAcentral.
UUGUCCCAUAGCUCAAGGGUAGAGCGCCCGGCUGUUAACCGGAAGGUUGCUGGUUCGAUCCCAGCUGGGACAGUC